CAGUGAGGGACCGAUCGAAGAGAGAGA
RNAcentral lists this small RNA (27 nucleotides) under Bombyx mori (domestic silkworm). Its description in RNAcentral is "ovarian small RNA-4738". Lineage: Eukaryota; Metazoa; Arthropoda; Insecta; Lepidoptera; Bombycidae. The record is from RNAcentral.